Molecule: long non-coding RNA, 7808 nt
Filed under: Salmo salar (Atlantic salmon)
Lineage: Eukaryota; Metazoa; Chordata; Actinopteri; Salmoniformes; Salmonidae
Description: lncRNA (ENSSSAG00000116339.1)
Rfam family: UnaL2 LINE 3' element (bases 3325-3378)
Source: RNAcentral
AGACUCACUCGGCUCUGAACAGUGGGCCGUCUCACCUGGUUCCGAACAGUGGGCCGUCUCUCUCCGGGGCACUGUCGCCGGAAGCUCUGGACGAGGCACUGUUGCCGGAAGUUCUGGACGAGGCACUGUUGCCGGAAGUUCUGGACGAGGCACUGUUGCCGGAAGUUCUGGACGAGGCACUGUUGCCGGAAGGCCUGGACGAGGCACUGUUGCCGGAAGGCCUGGUGCGUGGGGCUGGCUUAGGACGUGCCAGACUAAGGACACGCACCACAUGGCUAGUACGAGGAACAUGGACAGGACGUGCUGGACUGGGCUGACGCACUGAAGCCUGGUGCGUGGUGCUGGUAAUGGAGGUACCAUACUGGAGACACGCACCUUAGGGCUAGUGCGUGGAGCGGGAACAGGACGUACUGGACUGGGCUGACGCACUGGAAGCCUGAUGCGUGGUGCUGGUACUGGAUAUGCCAGCCUGGAAACACACACCUUAGGGCUAGUGCGUGGAGCGGGAACAGGACGUACUGGACUGGACUGGGCUGACGCACUGGAAGCCUAGUGCGUGGUGCUGGUACUGGAUAUGCCAGCUUUGAAACACACACCUUAGGGCUAGUGCGUGGAGCGGGAACAGGAUAUAUUGGACCGUGAAGGCGCACUGGCGGUCUCGAGCACAGUACUGGCUCCACCCUUCCUGGCUGGAUGCCCGCUUUCCCCAGACAAAUGCGGGGCGCAGGUACUGCGCACACCGGCCUGUGAAUUCUAGGCCUCAACGCCGUGCACCUCACUCCAACGCACGGGACCUGACUAAUACUAGGCUGCCCCCAAUAAGCACGGGGAUUUGGCUUGCGGCUCAAUCCUGGCCCUGCCAAACUACCUGUGUGCCCCCCCAAAAAAAAAAUAUUGGGGCUGCCUCUCCGGUUUAAUAGCCAGUCGUGUUCCCCUGUAGCGUUCCCGGUCUUCGCUCCAUUUUUUCCAUGGGCCCUCUCCGGCCAUAAUCUUUUCCCAUGUCCAUUUCUCCCGUUGGUCACACUCAAAUUCCCUUUUCUCCUCAACGUCCACCUUUUGCUCCUUCCUUCGCUGCUUGGUCCGGAUUUGGUGGGAGGUUCUGUAACGGCGGUCGUCAGGAAUGGACCAAGGCGCAGCUACAAACAAAACAAAACGAUGGACGCCGAAGACAGACUUGACGGCACAAGACAGCAAUUCAAGUGACAACCUCCCGCAAAUACAAAUACAAACACACCCUAAUAUAUAGGACUCUCAAUCAAAGGCAACUAGACAACACCUGCCUUCAAUUGAGAGUCCACACCCCAAUUAACUAAACAUAGAAACAGACUAACUAGAAGGAACAUAGUCUAACAGAGCAGUGACCAAAAAACCCCGGAAUACAUAAAUCAACUACCCUCUACAUAAUACACACACCCCGAACCACAUAAACCAAAUACCCUCUGCCACGUCCUGACCAGCCUACACUAACAAAAUAUCCCUCAUACUGGUCAGAACGUGACAUUGACUUACCCCCUAAAAUUGUAAAGGACUUAGAUAAGAUUUUUUAUAAUUGUAUUUGGAGGAACAAGCCUCACUAUCUACGAUAAGAUAUUUUCACUAAUACCCAAGAACAAGGAGUUAUUGAGGUUUUAGAUUUCAAUACUCUAAAUAAUACUUUUAAAAGAAAUUGGAUUCUGAAGUAUGUUAAGGACCAGAACUGUCACGGAAUUCUAGGACCAGUGGAGAUGCGGAAUCAGGCGCAGGAGACAGAGGCCCGGAGCAACAGUGUUUUAAUGCCACGGUAAACAAAACACAAUAGCCGAAAGGCACAGGGCGCUUAAAUAGGUCCGCCCGGGAAACACAUUCCCAAAAGAAAACACGAAGAAAAGCGCACGGGACGCAUCCCGGCAAUAACUCGUACACAGGCCAGCGAAACAGGCCAAACACACAACUGUCCUGAGUGGACAAUAAACAAUACCGCACGAGAACCCAAACUGAAAAUACACACUAAAUAACCCCCCACUAAUGACAGACAGGUGCGGGAUAGACAGACAAAACCAAAAGACACAGAAACAUAGAUCGGUGAGAGCUAAUAGGCCGGGGACGACGACCGCCGAGCGCCGCCCGACGUAGGAGGGGCGCCACCUUCGUUGGAUACUGUGACAAGAACAGUAUUUGGAAUGUCUUCCCUAAGUAUUUAUUUGACUCUGUUGUUGGUUUAGAUUCCAAUAACCCCGAAAGAAUAUGCAAUUGUUUUUGAUGCGAUUCCAAGGGGGGGGGGGUUGUCUCUUAAAUUCCUCUGUGGUUGAUGUAAAUAACAUAGAUUUACAUAAAUAUAUUCAUUGGCAAUAUUAACAUCAAAGAUAAAUGAUGUAAGAAACAGAUCAGGAAUAUUGUUUGUGAUACUACAAUUCCCUCAGCAAGAUUCUUUUGGGCAGAUAUCUAUGGUAAUAUACAAUGGCGGAAAGCAUGGAAAAUUGCUAACAAAUAUUGUAUCAGUAACAAAGUAAAGGAAGUUUCAUUUAAAAUGUUACAUAGAAUUUAUCCUGUGAAAUAUGUUUGGGAAAGAGUCAAGCUGUCACGACCUCGUAUGAAUAAUUAGACCAAGGCACAGUGUGAGUAGAGUUCCACAUUUUAAUAAUAGUGAAACUUCCAAAAACAACAAAGCUAUGACGAUCAUGAAACACGUAGCGCACAUAGGCACUCACACAAAACUAUAUCCCACAUCGCAUGUGGGAAAAAGGACACACUAAGUAUGAUCCCCAAUUAGAGGUAACGAUUAUCAGCUGCCUCCAAUUGGGAACCAUACACACACACCAACAUAAAUAUAUAAUACCUAGAAAUCCCCCUAGUCACGCCCUGACCUAAAACACCAUAGAGAACCCCGAGGGCUCUCUAUGGUCAGGGCGUGACAAGCUGAAUAUAACUGAUUUCUGUGGAAUGGAGAAGGAGACCAUUUUGCAUUUGUUUUUUACCUGUAUUUAUAGCAGAAUGUUUUGGAUUGGCAUACAGCAUUUUGUUACAAAAAAAUAGGACCGGUUGUACUAUUUACUGGUUUUGAUAUAAUGCUUUAUUUCAGAAAUUCUGACAUAAAUAUGUAGUAUAUUUAAUUCAACUGCUAAUAAUACUAGGUAAAUUUCAUAUUCACAAAUGGUCUAAUUCAAAACCUAACUUUUUAACUUUAUAAAUGAGUUUAAACAAUAUGGCAGCACUCUGACUAGAAUGCUUCCCUGUAGCUCAGUUGGUAGAGCAUGGUGUUUGCAACACCAGGGUUGUGGGUUCGAUUCCCACGGGGGGCCAGCACAGGAAAAAAAAAAAUAAAUGUAUGAAAUUGUAUGAAAUGUAUGCAUUCACUACUGUAAGUCGCUCUGGAUAAGAGCGUCUGCUAAAUGACUAAAAUGUAAAAUGUAAAUGUAAAAACAAAAAGGCAAUUAAAACUUGUAUUAUUAAUGAAUAUGAUUGGUUUGUUUAGGAUUCCGGGCAAUGUAAAUAGUUUGUUAGUAUGCUUGUUUGCAUGUGACUAUUCCUCUUUUGUUUCAUGAUAUUUGUUAAUAAAAAAUAAAAAUAAAAAGCCCUGUAAAAGUUGAAGUCAUAUUGAACAACUACCAGAGAGAACCUUCUCUACAUAGGAAUUGCAUACCAUAUUUUUUCCAUACAUCAAAAUAAUACUUUAUUGUCAAUCAGCAAUUACUUACUUAGAUAAGGCCUCAACAAGGCCCCAGUUAAUGGUUGAAAAUAACUUAUGUCAGUGCCAAUGAGUUACACUGAGUGUAUAAAACAUUAAGAACACCUGCUCUUUCCAAGACAUAUGCUGACCAGAUGAAUCCAGGUUAACGCUAUAAUCCCUUAUGGAUGUCACUAGUUAAAUCCACUUAAAUAAGUAUAGAUAAAGAGGAGGAGAAAGCUUUAAAAAAAUAUUGUAAGGCUUGAGAUAAUUGAGACAUGGAUUGUGAAUGUGUGCCAUUCAGAGGGUGAAUGGGCAAGACAAAAUAUUUACAUGCCGUUCAACGGGGCAUGGUAGUAGGUGCCAGGGGUACCAGUUUGUGUCAAGAACUGCAACGCUGCUGUUUUUUUUACGCUUCAAAGUCUCCCUCCCGUGUGUAUCAAGAAUGGUCCACCACUCAAAAGACAAUUUGACACAACUGUGGGACUGUCCUCAUAUACACAUUAUGACAUAAUAAAGAGCUUCAUCUUUCAUGAAAUAAAGACAUAGAAGCAUACCCAAUUAUACAGGUUCUACACAUUCCAUUUCUCCAUGGCAAUAGAAUGUAAACAUUCUAUUUUGCACCAAACAUCGCCUACAACUCAAUUCUAAGUGCAGCAUAUUGGACGACAACACAGUCAUUGAUCAUUUGCAACUUUAAGUCAUUUCUGUUAUCUCUAGAGCAUCCCGUAUAUCUAUAGCGCUGCAUUUCUUCCCCAUCUUUCCAUGGAUAGGGUUUGGUGCAUUCCGGAGUUCACUUAUGGUCCCACAAAGGAAUUCUGUAGAAGCAGCCUUUAUUUUCAGACUCUGCAGGCCUGCUGGGAGGAAACAUAUUACAAUAAACAGAAGAAGGUCAUGGUCCAUUAUCUGCUGCUCCAGAGUCAAGGCCAGGUCCCGCCCCAUGUCACCACGGAGCACAUGAGCAACUGGCUGGUGUCUCAGGGCAAAAAAUCCCUUAGGGAGAGGGUGUGGAAGGAAACCCUGGAGGAGGGAAACGACCUCGCUCGGCUGGCCUGGGAAGUAAACACUUGCCUAAAAAUGAUGGACAUAGAGCACGAGGCUUUCUGCAAGCUCCGCCGCUCCAUGCAUUCCACCUCGCCAGCUGACAUCGAUCCUAAAGUCCACAGCAUCGUGGAGAGAGCUGUGAGGAGCAUUCUGGGCGUGCAGUCCAAUGAGCCCCGUAGCAACCUGCUCAGCCCAUCUCAGGUGGUGGUGGAGGUGGUGCCCAGGCUCCUCCUGGCCCUGUGGCUUCAACCAGAGGAAGGCCAUUCAGAGCACCCAAUCCUAAUAAGCGGGAUGGCCGUGGGCAUGGUGGCGGCCGUAGUGGAGAAGCUCUCCUGCAUGUUAAAGGACCCUUCCCCACACAUCCCUUUCUCUCGGGCUGCUGCUUUUGACUCUGUGCGGUCGAUCCUCGGGAGAAUCAGUCAGUCCUUCUCCACCGAUGACCUCCAGAGCCCUUUUUAUAUGAGCUCUGUCUGUGCCUUUGUGGCGAACGAGGUUCAGAGCCGCUUCCAGCCCCCUGCAUCCACCCUACCAGUCCCCCCUGUCCUCCCGGGGGCUUUCUCCACUACACGACCAGCUGACAUCCAAGCAGACCCAGCGUCUUCCCACCUGAAUGUUGUGGACAUCACCACUAACACAGAGGCAGAUCCGGCUUCUUUCCACCUGGAGAUUGUGAAAGUCACCCCUAACACAGAGGCAGACCCGGCUUGUUCCCACCUGGAGGUUGUGGACAUCACCCCAAAAACAGACGCAGACCCGGCUUGUUCCCACCUGGAGGUUGUGGACAUCACCCCAAAAACAGAGGCAGACCCGGGUUGUUCCCACCUGGAAGUUCAAGACAUCACCCCAAAAACAGAGGCAGACCCGGCAUCUUCCCACCUGGAGGUUGUGAACAUCACCCCUAACACAGAGGAAGACCCGGCUUCUCUCCACCUGAAUGUUGUGGACAUAACCCUUAAUACAGAGGCAGAUCCGGCUUCUCUCCACCUGAAUGUUGUGGACAUAACCCUUAAUACAGAGGCAGAUCCGGCUUCUUCCCACCUGAAUGUUGUGGACAUAACCCUUAAUACAGAGGCAGAUCCGGGUUCUUCCCACCUGGAGGUUCAAGACAUCACCCCAAAAACAGAGGCAGGCCCGGCUUCUUCCCACCUGGAGGUUGUGGACAUCACCCCUAACACAGAGGCAGAUCCGGCUUCUCUCCACCUGAAUGUUGUGGACAUAACCCUUAAUACAGAAGCAGAUCCGGCUUCUCUCCACCUGAAUGUUGUGGACAUAACCCUUAAUACAGAGGCAGAUCCGGCUUCUUCCCACCUCAAUGUUGUGGACAUAACCCCUAACACAGAGGCAGAGCCGGCUUCUUUCCACCUGAAUGUUGUGGACAUAACCCCUAACACAGAGGCAGAGCCGGCUUCUUUCCACCUGAAUAAUGUGGACAUAACCCCUAACACAGAGGCAGAGCCGGCUUCUUUCCACCUAAAUAUUGUGGACAUCACCCCUAAUACAGAGGCAGAGCCCAUCUCUUCCCUCUUGGAGGUUGUGGACGUCACACCUGAAGAAAGGACUCUCACGAUGGCCGUCUUCACCACUCUGCCAGCUGACAUCCAAGCAGAGGAUGUUGCUGUGGUCAUCCCGGAUGUCACCCCACACGUAACCAAGGACGUGACACUGGAUGUUCCAUGUAGAGCUAGGAAAGGGGCAGUCCGGCGAUUAUUUUGCAGGCUUUGGAGGGCAGUGUGCUGCUGCGCCUGCUACAAGGAAGAGGAGGAACAAUAUUAAUUAUUCAUCAGACAUUCAGAAGUGGGAUUGAACCAUAGACCAUUAAAUUAUUCGCAUUAUAAUUGGACUCAAUUCUGCUUUUCUUCUGUUUACUACUUAAUUUCAGAACUUUUCUAUAAACUUUCACUAUGCAAGUGUGGAGUAGGUUUUAUAAAUAAGUGGGAAACAUCCCAAUUUUAAUGCUUUUAAUAAUUUACUUUGUACAUUUAAAAAAAAAAUUGACAACAAAAAAACGCAGGGCGCUCAACCAACGUUGAGUUUCGGUGCAACCAAAAAUUUGAAUCAUCAUUGAAAAGGAAAAAGCACUACUCUUGCUCACUAUAAAAAAAUGCAUUGUUUUAUUCAGGCAAGGUUAAAAGAUUAACGUUUCGGCCUAGUCUAUGACGAUAUCGAAGUUGUGUUUGCCCAGUAAAAGGGUUACCCAGACUCACCCUGGUUCUUGAGGUUGAAGACAGUGAAAAAUGAUCAUUAAGUAAAUGGGACUUUUUAAUUCUUGAAUAAAAAUCUUUAAUGAACAUGAAUUUAAAUACAAUUGACUUGAGGUUCAGAGCAGGCAGGCUGACUGGCUAGCCCUGAAGGCCCUCUGCCUCUACCUCUGUGUGGUUCAUCUCAACCAAGAGGUUGUGUGGGUUGUCUUUCUCUCUGGGGGUGUGAAUCACUAUGACCUCUCCAUCUGCCUGCCAUUUGGCUGAUCAGAAGCCUUCUGCUCUUUCUUGCUCACAUGAACAGGAGGAAUGGCCUCUGGGGUAACCUCCUCCUCUAUCUAACGCCUCUUCCACCUCCUCUUUCUGACUGUGUUCAACUGAGGUCACUCGUUCUCUCUCUCUGGGUGUUGGAUAGUUCCUCCUCCUCUGUGUCUUUGUGAACGGAACGGCGUCAGACUGAUAGAAACUUCACUGUGAAGGAGUGCCAGCCAGUCCUCAGAGAGAGCCCGGAGAGGACAGGGGUAAAUAUGAAAACAGCUGAGGGCUCAGAGACUCAAUCAUCUCAUGAUGAAGUGGACACUGAUUCAUUGGGGUCACCCAUGACCUUGCCCCGCCGUUCACACCGGCAGAGGAGGCCCAGAGACAUUCUAACCUAUAACACUUUAGGGCUGCCAAGCUCUUAUCAGGAUACCAACUAGAGAUGUUCUGAUGUGUAUAUAUUUUCUUGUUUACCUUUACUAAUCACAGUGUGAUAAUGUUUAGUGGGGGUUGCGUUUUUGCCCAUAAGGCAGACUGGACAUGUCUAGAUAGUUAUAUGGCUGUUAGGCCAGUUUCUCCGUUGUUCUCAUGACCAGUACUUACAUCUUCUGUUUGUUUUAAGGCCAGUGAAAUGUUUGGGACAACAUUUCGUUUUUGCAGGGGGG